RNAcentral lists this non-coding RNA (46 nucleotides) under Schistosoma mansoni. Lineage: Eukaryota; Metazoa; Platyhelminthes; Trematoda; Strigeidida; Schistosomatidae. The record is from RNAcentral.
GCAUUGCUGAGGAGUCCCACAACCGGACGAAACGGCCUUCAGAUGC